GAUGAACGCUGGCGGCGUGCUUAACACAUGCAAGUCGAACGGGAUCCGUCAAGCUUGCUUGGCGGUGAGAGUGGCGAACGGGUGAGUAAUGCGUGACCAACCUGCCCCAUGCUUCGGAAUAGCUCCUGGAAACGGGUGGUAAUGCCGGAUGCUCCGCACUGUCGCAUGAUGGUGUGGGAAAGGGUUUACCGGCAUGGGAUGGGGUCGCGUCCUAUCAGCUUGUUGGCGGGGUGAUGGCCUGCCAAGGCUUCGACGGGGAGCCGGCCUGAGAGGGCGACCGGCCACAUUGGGACUGAGAUACUGCCCAGACUCCUACGGGAGGCAGCAGUGGGGAAUAUUGCACAAUGGGCGCAAGCCUGAUGCAGCGACGCCGCGUGCGGGAUGACGGCCUUCGGGUUGUAAACCGCUUUUGAUUGGGAGCAAGCGGGAGUGAGUGUACCUUUCGAAUAAGCACCGGCUAACUACGUGCCAGCAGCCGCCGUAA
RNAcentral lists this ribosomal RNA (484 nucleotides) under uncultured bacterium. RNAcentral describes it as "partial 16S ribosomal RNA". It matches the Rfam family "Bacterial small subunit ribosomal RNA", at positions 28 to 523 of the family's 1533-position model. The record is from RNAcentral.